GAUGAACGCUAGCUACAGGCUUAACACAUGCAAGUCGAGGGGAAACGACAUCGAAAGCUUGCUUUUGAUGGGCGUCGACCGGCGCACGGGUGAGUAACGCGUAUCCAACCUGCCCAUCACUUGGGAAUAACCUUGCGAAAGUAAGACUAAUACCCAAUGACAUCCCCCGAAGACAUCUGAAUGGGAUUAAAGAUUUAUCGGUGACGGAUGGGGAUGCGUCUGAUUAGCUUGUUGGCGGGGUAACGGCCCACCAAGGCAACGAUCAGUAGGGGUUCUGAGAGGAAGGUCCCCCACAUUGGAACUGAGACACGGUCCAAACUCCUACGGGAGGCAGCAGUGAGGAAUAUUGGUCAAUGGGCGAGAGCCUGAACCAGCCAAGUAGCGUGCAGGAUGACGGCCCUAUGGGUUGUAAACUGCUUUUAUAAGGGAAUAAAGUGGGUCUCGUGAGACUUUUUGCAUGUACCUUAUGAAUAAGGACCGGCUAAUUCCGUG
RNAcentral lists this ribosomal RNA (492 nucleotides) under uncultured bacterium. Its description in RNAcentral is "partial 16S ribosomal RNA". It matches the Rfam family "Bacterial small subunit ribosomal RNA", at positions 28 to 507 of the family's 1533-position model. The record is from RNAcentral.